GCCCCACCCCGUCUCCCUGACCGC
RNAcentral lists this microRNA (24 nucleotides) under Monodelphis domestica (gray short-tailed opossum). Its description in RNAcentral is "mdo-miR-12399-3p". Lineage: Eukaryota; Metazoa; Chordata; Mammalia; Didelphimorphia; Didelphidae. The record is from miRBase by way of RNAcentral.